UACGUAGGGUGCGAGCGUUGUCCGGAAUUAUUGGGCGUAAAGAGCUCGUAGGCGGUUUGUCGCGUCGGCCGUGAAAACUUGGGGCUUAACCCCAAGCCUGCGGUCGAUACGGGCAGACUUGAGUUCGGCAGGGGAGACUGGAAUUCCUGGUGUAGCGGUGAAAUGCGCAGAUAUCUGGAGGAACACCGGUGGCGAAGGCGGCAUCCUGGACCGGUAUUGACGCUGAGGCGCGAAAGCCAGGGGAGCAAACGGG
Molecule: ribosomal RNA, 253 nt
Filed under: uncultured bacterium
Lineage: Bacteria
Description: partial 16S ribosomal RNA
Rfam family: Bacterial small subunit ribosomal RNA
Source: RNAcentral